RNAcentral lists this ribosomal RNA (332 nucleotides) under uncultured bacterium. RNAcentral's name for it is "bacterial SSU rRNA". It matches the Rfam family "Bacterial small subunit ribosomal RNA", at positions 568 to 898 of the family's 1533-position model. The record is from RNAcentral.
CGUGUAGGCGGCCUUUUAAGUCAGACGUGAAAUCCAUGGGCUUAACCCAUGAAUUGCGUUUGAAACUGGAGGGCUUGAGGAUCGGAGAGGGCAGUGGAAUUCCCAGUGUAGCGGUGAAAUGCGUAGAUAUUGGGAGGAACACCAGUGGCGAAGGCGACUGCCUGGACGACACCUGACGCUGAGGCGCGAAAGCUAGGGGAGCAAACGGGAUUAGAUACCCCGGUAGUCCUAGCCGUAAACGAUGGGUACUAGGUGUGGGAGGUAUCGACCCCUUCCGUGCCGCAGUUAACACAAUAAGUACCCCGCCUGGGGAGUACGGCCGCAAGGUUGAA